Phyllostomus discolor (pale spear-nosed bat) is the source of this 148-nucleotide long non-coding RNA. RefSeq lists it as uncharacterized. The transcript has 3 exons. The record is from RefSeq and is a predicted model, not a curated record. Lineage: Eukaryota; Metazoa; Chordata; Mammalia; Chiroptera; Phyllostomidae.
AAAAGAUGCUCAAACUGAGAUCAGGUGACUAGGGAGGGUGGGCACGGGGGUCAUGCUAUUUUUGGUCAAAAACUGUUGAACACUCAGCACAGAGUGGGCGGGUGGGCUCAUGAAUCACUCAUCAUGAAAUGGGCAAACUUGUUGAAAA